Molecule: small nucleolar RNA, 107 nt
Organism: Callithrix jacchus (white-tufted-ear marmoset)
Lineage: Eukaryota; Metazoa; Chordata; Mammalia; Primates; Cebidae
Source: Ensembl
UUACUUCUAUGGUGCAUAAAUAUGAUGAUAGGGUUUUUACAACACUCAUGUAUGAGAUGCACCUCCUUCAAACAUUUUUACAACAUCGGUACAUUACCCAACUGGCA